RNAcentral lists this long non-coding RNA (1038 nucleotides) under Papio anubis (olive baboon). RNAcentral describes it as "lncRNA (ENSPANG00000042381.1)". The record is from RNAcentral. Lineage: Eukaryota; Metazoa; Chordata; Mammalia; Primates; Cercopithecidae.
GUGAAUCUGUUGGAGAGGGUCUUUUCUGGCCUGGUGGAUGAAUGCUGGGGAGUGACGUCACCCCGCCCCCUCCUCUGGUGUGUGUGUGUUUGUGUUGCCUCCUUCACCCACCACUCCUGCCUUCCCCUCCUUCAUCCAGCUCUCUGGCCCUUUCAGUGGGUCAGUGGUCCAGAUUCAGGGAUUCGCCAACAGGCGCAGCGGGCCCAGCUCUCCCCGCGUCCGGGCGCACCCACACUCACACUCACGCGCAGGCAACGCGCACACACAAUCCCCCAGCGCUGGAGCACAGCAAUUCCGUGGGAUCCCCAGCACGUUACGAGGAUUUUAGAAAUCACCCAGACAAGGAAACAAAGAGAGAAGCCUUUCCAAUUACUUUCCUGGGCUUUUUUGUUUAAUUUCCCCCACCAAACCACCUCGUCUGCAGCCGUAACUACCAGGUUCACGCCAGGUCCAAAGACUGGGUUGGGCUGGCCACCCCACCUCCCGGCCCUUGACUCUGUUCGGGCCCUUUCCCAGGCGUCGCCUCGCACCCCUCUCCCCCCACGAGCCUCAGUUUCUGGUUACCUCGCGUGCGCUUCACUUUUGGGGGGAAGAAGAGAAGAAGGGGAGGGAGGCACCGAGGGGGGCAGCCGAGUUGCUAUUUGUGGCCAAAGAAUCCGCUUUAAAAGAAGAGGCAGCAGGAAGGAGGAAACAGGAGAGGCGGAGGGAGGAGAGGAGACGCGGCCCCGGACCCCCCAGCCGCGAGCGGCGGAGCAUCGAGGAGCGGGAGGAGGAGGAAAAGGAGGAGGAGGAGGGAGAGGAGACAAACGGCGGCGGCGGCGGCGGCAGCGGCAGCGAGAGAAACGGGCGCCGGGCGAGCAGGAGGAGCGAGAGGAGGAGAAACCGCCGCGGAAGCCGCGGGCUCAGAAGGGCCAAGAGGACGGCCCGAGAAGAGGAGGAGGAGGCGGAGGAGGAGGAAAAGGGGGUAGGGGUGGAGGGAGGGCGGGGGGACGCGCUCCCUUGGAUGCUGGAUUUCGGGUUUUUGGACUCACUCGCUGA